RNAcentral lists this antisense RNA (3068 nucleotides) under Pan troglodytes (chimpanzee). The stretch from base 425 to 605 matches the Rfam family "TTC28 antisense RNA 1 conserved region 3". The record is from RNAcentral. Lineage: Eukaryota; Metazoa; Chordata; Mammalia; Primates; Hominidae.
GUUUCCUCCAGGUGUGGAGAUGCUUGUAUCUGGGACCCCCUGCCAUUUCUCAGGACACCCUCCUGCUCCUAGCUGGGAGAUCCAGCAUCCUCAUGAAUGCGGGGCCCAAGGCCACCAACUGUUCCACCUGCUGUCAGCCAGGCCUGUUGCCCCAGCCCUACACCCACAGCUCACCCAGCAGGGACUGGAGUGUGCUGCUGCACUGCUGGAGCCGGUCGCCCGGGUCAGAGGUUGGGAAGAAGACAGCUGCUGGCAGGCCACUGGUUGGGGGGUCCAGCCGGAAGCCCACAGCGGUGAGGAGGGCCUGCCAGCCAGGGAUGCCGCCCACUUUGUUCUCCACACUCUGCUGGGACGUGUACAUGGCGUUGCGCUGCCCAUUCUGGAUGCGCUGCAGGGACUUCUCCACCUGAGGGGGAAUUGGGGUAAACACUGGGAUGCCGGAGCUCAGGCAUCCCAGACAGGAGGAAGUGUGUACUCACACCAGCCAGGAGGAAACAAGCCUGCCUGGGAGGACAGACGAUCAGCCCUGGCUGUCCCUCAGGAGCGGGGGUCCUCCAAGGCACACUGCCCACUGGGUCAAGGAGUGUCCAGGAGGAGUUAGAAGCAUGACCCAUCUGCCUGGCACCAGCACCUGGGGCUGCCAGGCAGCCACCCCUGCAGCUGUGUUGACAGGGCCUGGCAGAGGGACUGACCCACCUUUGGAAAAUGACACCAGCAAUAUCAGGAUGUGUCAACUGGAUUUAUGUUAAGAAAAUAGGAUUUUUGGUGUUCCUCUGUUUCCCAAAGUUUGAGACACUUUCAGACACUCUGCUUUGCGGUUGUGGCCGAUGUUACCCAUGGGUGGGACUUUUGCUUUGCUCUAGAUUUUUGUAACACCCUGGGGAGUUUCAGGGGCCAAUGCUGAGAGAAGACCACAGGCUGACACAUCAUGAGACCCUCUGGGCAGGUCCACUAAGAGUAUGUAUUCUAGAACAUGCAGGGCUUGAAGCUUCACAAGAUAUUCAGUGCACUCCUUACAGAUCCUGUCAAAUGUGGACCGGGUGGUGUCAUCGCACCACCAUCAUCCCCUUGUUACCCCUGAGAACACAGCUUCAGAGAGGGUAAGUAACCUAUCUCAGGCCACACAGCCAGGACAUGGAGUAGAUCCAUCCUAAGUCUUUCUACCACACACUCCUUUCUACAGUCAUGGGUUAAAUGAGGGUGCCAUGGAAUGGGUCAUCCAGUGUACACUGACAUCAGGAGGAGAUUCACAUUCAUACACUCACGGCAAAUGGUUCUGUUGCUCCCUGGUCCAAAGAUGAUCUUAAUAGUAGGAAAAACUCAUUUGGCAGAAGCAAGACUCAGCACACAGGCUCCCUCCCUGAGUCUUCUGUGGCUGGCCUUGCCCUGCCCUCCCCUCCCCAACCCCACUGGCAGAAUAAAGUCGGGGCUGUGAGGACUGAGCCCCAGGCCUUGACAGGCACCCGCAGCCGGCCGAACUCCCACCUGCCCAGUUGGAGGGGUGCGAGAAGGCCUUGCUGCUCUGCACCACCUUCAUGGCCUCCCCCAGGGCAGCACUGGCUUUCAGGCCGUUCAGCAGGGAUGAGUAGAAGGCAUGGAUGAACAUCUUAGAAGCAGCCACUGGCACAGGCCACAGAGACACGAGGACACACUGAGCGCCGGCAGCCAGGAAGGCCCUUGUCAGCGCGAUGACCCCGUCGGCUGUGACUUUGCUGUUGGACUCCUGGGAGGAGCCAAGCACCACCAGCUUCACAGGCAGCUGCAGGUCCAGGACGUCGGCGGCAGUGCCUAACUUACUGAGAAUCAUGCCUGCUGUGAUGAGCCCUUGGAAACCAUCAGGACUGGAUGGUAGGGGUCCUGAGAGGAUUGGGGGAGGAGGCCUUGAUAUGACAGAGUGGACAGAGGCUGUGGAACCCAGGACGGCCAGCCUGCUCCACAAUCCUCAUCCCCACAGACCUUCAUGUGUGGCUCCUAAAUAAGAGGAAACCCACUCCUGAUAAGUCAGGGGCUUUGAAAAGUGAUUUUGUUUAAAUGGUGCAAACAAGCAAGCCAAUCUUGGGGAGACAGGGCUAAACUAAGUCCUUUAAGAAGCUCUACAUACUGACAAGAUUCUAGUUCCCUUCCACCUUAUAUGCUGCAAAGUAAAAAGUAUCACUGAAUGAGAAAAUCAGCAUAAAGAAGCCCAAUAAUGUCUGCCUGAGUUUCCCCUAUGAUGACUUUUGGUACUUUUUGGGAAACAUUAAGUAUGAAGUUAUUUCAAAAUAAUUUUUUGGUGCCUCUGCUUGGUGAUGCCUUAAACUCUGGGUAAGAGAAACACCAGGUGCCUGUCAGGAGAUGGUCUUUUCCAGGUUUCUGGUUAAGCUACAAACAGCUAGCUGGCUGUUGUCAUCAAAAUAAAAGCUUUCUGAAGGUGGAGGCAUCUGAUACCCAGAGUGCUGCUAUCAGCCGGCACGGUGGGCCGCUGGGUGGCAGGAGCGUCGAGAAGGCCAGCUCGCUUCCUAUCCGGGAUUCAGAAUCAGCUAUGGAAACUUGAGAGACCUAGAGAAAAUAACUUCUUUCACUUUGAACUGAUUCUUUGCUCCAUAAGAAAAGUAUUAUCCAGCCACAAAAAUGGUCAAAAUUCAGAUCUACAAAAACCUGUCAGGCAGAAACUGACCCCACUUAGGCCACGCCAAUGAGCAAGUCAUCAAAGCAGCCAAGACAGGUCCUGUGGGGGCCACCCAUGCACAGGGCCCAGCCUCGGUUCCUAACCCCGCCUAUGCUUUCCGCCACCAUAAGGAGGCCCAUCUGGGUAAGACCUGUCCCGCCCGCCGUCGGGUAUUAGGGCAGAUGGGGUCUGAGGGCUCUGAGAGCAGCUGGCAGCUCAAGGACAUCCAGAGUUGGAGGAUGGAGCAAUGCAGGCCCUUGUGGUAAAGACAGUCCUGCAGCUGCGCAGGCAGGGAUGCUGCAAGUGGAGUGCCAGGCGGGUGCGGAGCCCUGUGGGACUGUGGAGGGGUCAGAGGGAAGCCAGGAUUUUGGGGUCUCUGAGAGUUUGGAGAAGGGGAAGAAGAUUAAAGCUUGUUUCAAAA